RNAcentral lists this long non-coding RNA (232 nucleotides) under Nicotiana benthamiana. RNAcentral describes it as "long non-coding RNA (NBEN_LNC040961)". The record is from RNAcentral. Lineage: Eukaryota; Viridiplantae; Streptophyta; Magnoliopsida; Solanales; Solanaceae.
CCAACAUAGGAUCUAUGAGAUCUUAGUUACUCUUGCGUAACUAGACCCUACAUAGAUCACGUAUAUCAAUAUAACCAAUGACAUGGAUCAAGUAUAGGUGUGUAGCACGGAAAUAACAUAAAGUGUGGUCUGAACUAGAAUGUCUAUUUCCAACUGGUUCUCUUUAUUGAGAUCAAUCAUAAACCUUAAGAGUACAUAAAACUUUAAAACUGAAUAUCUGCAGAUAUAACCN